RNAcentral lists this ribosomal RNA (181 nucleotides) under uncultured Staphylococcus sp. RNAcentral describes it as "partial 16S ribosomal RNA". It matches the Rfam family "Bacterial small subunit ribosomal RNA", at positions 159 to 334 of the family's 1533-position model. Lineage: Bacteria; Bacillati; Bacillota; Bacilli; Caryophanales; Staphylococcaceae. The record is from RNAcentral.
GGAGCUAAUACCGGAUAAUAUUUUGAACCGCAUGGUUCAAAGGUGAAAGACGGUCUUGCUGUCACUUAUAGAUGGAUCCGCGCUGCAUUAGCUAGUUGGUAAGGUAACGGCUUACCAAGGCAACGAUGCAUAGCCGACCUGAGAGGGUGAUCGGCCACACUGGAACUGAGAUACGGCCCAG